GCUAGGCAGUAGGGGAAAUAAUGUGGUUCAGGGACUGUGGGACUGACUAGGAGGGCUAGGGACUGCAGUAGGGGAAAUAAUGUGGUUCAGGGACUGUGUGACAGACUAGGAGGGCUAGGCAGUAGG
Long non-coding RNA from Haliotis rubra (blacklip abalone), 126 nucleotides. RefSeq lists it as uncharacterized. Lineage: Eukaryota; Metazoa; Mollusca; Gastropoda; Lepetellida; Haliotidae. The record is from RefSeq and is a predicted model, not a curated record. The transcript is spliced from 2 exons.